GUUUAUCCACAGCAAUCCGUACCGCAAACCAACUCAGGUGGGUGGGAUGAACAAUCCAAGGCGCUCGAGAGAACUCUGGCCAAGGAACUCGGCAAAAUAACCCCGUAACUUCGGAAGAAGGGGUGCUCUCUAGGGUGACAUGUUUAACAUAUGAAGCCCCGGGGAGCCGCAGUGAAUUGGUGGUGGCGACUGUUUACUAAAAACAUAGGUCUGUGCGAAGUCCUAAAGACGACGUAUACGGACUGACGCCUGCCCGGUGCUGGAAGGUUAAAAGGAGGGGUCAGCGCAAGCAAAGCUCCGAAUUGAAGCCCCAGUAAACGGCGGCCGUAACUAUAACGGUCCUAAGGUAGCGAAAUUCCUUGUCGGGUAAGUUCCGACCUGCACGAAAGGCGUAACGAUCUCCACACUGUCUCGGCCAGAGACUCGGUGAAAUUGCAGUCGCGGUGAAAAUUCCGUGUACCCGCAGAAAGACGGAAAGACCCUGUGCACCUUUACUAUAGCUUGACAUUGGAUUUUGGGCCUGCAUGUGUAGGAUAGGUGGGAGGCUGUGAACCCUGUACGCCAGUAUGGGGGGAGCCAUCCUUGAAAUACCACCCUUGCAUGUUUAAGAUCCUAACUUCUUCCGGUUAUCCCGGAGAAAGACAGUGUCUGGCGGGUAGUUUGACUGGGGCGGUCGCCUCCUAAAGUGUAACGGAGGCAUGCAAAGGUUCCCUCAGCCUGAUCGGAAACCAGGCGCUGAGUGCAAACGCAUAAGGGAGCUUGACUGUAAGAGAGACAUCUCGAACAGGAACGAAAGUUGGCGUUAGUGAUCCGGUGGUCCCGAAUGGAAGGGCCAUCGCUCAUUGGAUAAAAGGUACGCCGGGGAUAACAGGCUGAUCGCAUCCAAGAGUUCACAUCGACGAUGCGGUUUGGCCACCUCGAUGUCGGCUCAUCACAUCCUGGGGCUGAAGCAGGUCCCAAGGGUACGGCUGUUCGCCGUUUAAAGUGGUACGCGAGCUGGGUUUAAAACGUCGUG
This 1015-nucleotide ribosomal RNA is filed under the name human gut metagenome. RNAcentral's name for it is "bacterial LSU rRNA". It matches the Rfam family "Bacterial large subunit ribosomal RNA", at positions 1626 to 2623 of the family's 2925-position model. The record is from RNAcentral.